RNAcentral lists this ribosomal RNA (233 nucleotides) under Proteus mirabilis. RNAcentral's name for it is "partial 23S ribosomal RNA". It matches the Rfam family "Bacterial large subunit ribosomal RNA", at positions 1100 to 1332 of the family's 2925-position model. Lineage: Bacteria; Pseudomonadati; Pseudomonadota; Gammaproteobacteria; Enterobacterales; Morganellaceae. The record is from RNAcentral.
GUUGGCUUAGAAGCAGCCAUCAUUUAAAGAAAGCGUAAUAGCUCACUGGUCGAGUCGGCCCGCGCGGAAGAUGUAACGGGGCUAAACCAUGCACCGAAGCUGCGGCAGCGACACAAAGUGUUGUUGGGUAGGGGAGCGUUCUGUAAGCCUGCGAAGGUGUACUGUGAGGUAUGCUGGAGGUAUCAGAAGUGCGAAUGCUGACAUAAGUAACGAUAAUGCGGGUGAAAAACCCG